Molecule: long non-coding RNA, 3383 nt
Filed under: Sus scrofa (pig)
Lineage: Eukaryota; Metazoa; Chordata; Mammalia; Artiodactyla; Suidae
Description: lncRNA (ENSSSCG00060013374.1)
Source: RNAcentral
GGAGGAGCUGCUACUCAAGAAAGAGGAAGAGGCGGGCUUUUCCGACCCCCACGCCCCUGGGAUGGUAAAGCUGCAGCCCACCUCGUUCUGGGGCAGAGUCUCCUUGCCUGCCUGCUUGCAUCGCUCACCAGCGUCCUAUCCUAACACCUCUGUUUCGUGCCCAUCACUUUGUCUCUCGCUGAAUUCCUUCUGCGUGGAGACAUAGAGAACCUCAACCUCAGUGAGUCCAGACGCAGGAGGAGAGCGUUUCCCAGACUCCUUGCCCCUGAGUGAGGAUACGUGCCUGGUUCUGGCCAAGGGGCUGUGGCUGAUACAGCAGGUGUCACUCUGAGUCAAAGCAAAGGAUGUGCAGACAUGAAGUCUCCACGCUCUCUCUUCUUCACCCCUUGUCUCAAGGUGUCAGAGGCACCAGCUUAUGAGGGAUGUAUGAUUGUCAGCACCUCCACUUUACAGAAGAGGACACCUGGGUAUGAUGAUAAGCUGCCCAAGGUCCCAUAUCUGGUGCUUCAUAAUCCUGGCAAAGCCACUAAGCUGAGCAGAGCUGCAGAAAUUCCCUGGCUUUCCUACUGGAAGAUGUCGAUCAAUGAGGGCGCUCGCGGCCUUUGAUGUUAGGCAUCCACGCCCGCUUCUGUAAAGACUUUCGGCUCCACAAGAGAACGGGAAGUCACUGUGAAGAAAGAGGCAGGCGAUGUAACCGGAAAAGCGCAGGUUUGAUGUCAAACAGACCUGCGUGGUUCCACCGCUUUCCGACUGUGUGACACCUCCCCCCACCCCCACCGGCCCAGUUGCUCUUUGAACCCAAGUCUUGGAAAAUGGAACCAAUAAUACCUGUUCUUCAAGACUGUUUCUGCUGGAAGCUCCAAGAUUCAUCUGAAGGCGUGAUCACAUCCUCAAUGUUGAGUGGACUAUGAACCGGCUGCCAGAGACAGGGUUCCAAGCCGGGCCAGGCCCAUCCCAAUGCCCACCCGAAAAGAAGGGACAGAGGAAAGAAAGAAACAAAAUCCUGGGGCUCCAUUGGCUUUCUUUUUGACUCCAGCUGAAGUUGCUGCAUAGUGUGGCCUUGCCAGUCCUCGCCUUGAAAAGGCUGGAAGCGACUGACGUGAUGGAUCAUCUAAUCCCACAGCCUCAUUUUGCAGAGGACCCCGAGCCUCGACUUGGCCAAGGUCACACAGCUGGGCCACACCCAUGGCGUAUGGUUUUCAUAUGGAAUUGGAGCUGCAGUUGCCGGCCUGUGCCACAGCCACAGCAAGGUAGGAUCUGAGCCAAGUCUUUGACCUACACCACAUCUCACGGCAAUUCCAGAUCCCUGGACCCACUGAGUGAGGUAAGGGAUUGAACACGCACCCUUAUGGAUACUAGUUGGAUCACAACGGAACUCCCUGAAAAAUCAAGGUCUUUAAAGCAAUUCAUCAACCCCACCAACAUCUUGGCAUAAGAAAAUUGAUUCUGUAAGUCAAAAGAACUUAUAACAUGGUAUAUUGGGAGGAUGGCAGGGCUUGGUAAGUGGUAGCAACGCAGCUGGUAGAUUUUUCUUUGUUGUGUCCUUGUCCUUACACUCUUUUUAGCCACAUUUUCAUUCAGGAUUCUUGGGUUGGAAGCAACAGAAAUGGACUCUUUUGGCCUUAAGCAAAAAGAAAAUUUGUUGAAAGGGCAUGGAGGAGUUCAUAGGAUUGACUAGAAGUUUGGAGAAGUAGGCUCAGGAGUCAAGGCAUUUAUGGAGGAGGGUAGGGUAGAGAGGUGAUAAAAAUAAUGCAACGGUCUUAUUUGGAAAUUGUACUGGCAUGUAAGAGUUUCAUCUUUCCUCCUCCCUUCCUCUCUCUCUCUUUCUGCCACUUCAUUCGAGAUUCCAAUUUCAGCGAAGGAGCAUCCAAUUGGCCUGUCUUGGUCAGAUUCCCACCACCCCCAUGGUUAGGGGAACACAGCAUAUUCGAAAUGGCAUUCCCACGAGGUACAUUCCAUGGAAAAGUAAUACCACAAAGAAAAUACGGACACAGUUAUCAAAGGAAGAUAAAACAGGUGCUGGGUAGCCAACAAUAGCCUAUUUCCACUAUAUCCUUUAAAAAAAAUCCCAGUAACUCUUCUAUGAUUACCGAUGUUUCAGGAGAGAAAUUUAACGAUGGAAGAGUGUAUACAUAGUGAUGAAAAGAAUGGGAGGAUUUAUAAGAUACAAGUCAUUUUCUUUGAGUUGUGGGACAAUGGUUGGGUCCAUUUUUCUUCUGUUGUUUUUUCCUAUAGAGCACAUUUAUAACCUUUUAAAAGUAAACUAUGUUUUCUACUUUAAGAUGAGUGAAAUGAGGGGGGAGUGUCCUUUUGACUGGGGACAUAGUCACUAGUUACUCUAUGUUAAUAACAGAAGCAUACAUUCCUCUCGAGGGGCAACAGUGUUCUUAUACAUUAAACUCUCAACAGAAACCAAAAGAACCACCACCAAAAAAAUCCCACCCAGUUUGGAAAGGACUUGUGCUUGUGGGUCGGGGGCAGAAGGAAGCAAUUUCCCUCCAUUUUCUGCCUGAGCAGGCCUUUUGCACUUUGAUAUUCGUUUCACUAAUAAGGUGUUUCAUUAUUUCUCCCACAAAAAGAGCUGGUGCUGUUAUGAGAUGCUGUUGAAGACUCUGGUUUGCCCAGAUGUGCCGCAGUGAAAACAGCCUUUCUCUGACGUGCGUGACUUGUGAGGAUGAUGGGACCUGUGGGAAGAGGGGAUCCUUUUUCAGAGUUUGGAAAGAGAGGCAAAAUAACGCCAUCUGCCCUGCAUGGCUGACAGAAACACGUUCUUCCCUAAUCAGUGGGUCACUCACUUCCGCACUAUGUUGCAGGGAAGCAUCAUCUGAUUCCAAGCCUAAGGCUGGGUCAUCCGCGGCACUGACUUCUCCCGACCCUUCUCCGAGCUUCCUGUGCCAGUUUUCAUCAUCAAAUUUCUCUGCUCCCUUGGACCAGCGGAAAAGAAGUUAUGAGCUCUCUCCAUCAUUCGCCGGUCUCUUCGGCCCUUCCUCCUUUGAAGUUUUCUUAUUCGGGGUCUUUUUUCGCUUCUUCUCCAUGUUUCAUCCUCUCUCACUGUAACCUUUUUAUCUCUGGAGAGUUCUCUCUGUGCCUCUGGGCCCUUCUCUUUCUAGUUGGUUCUCAGAACCCAUUCUGGGAUUCUAUUUCAGUCCAUCCGUCUCUCCAACAGACCACGGGUGAAACCAGGGCCGGUAAUCAGUCCCAGCUGCUGGAGGCGUCCGCUCUGGGUCGGCCCCACGUUUGUGGGCUGAUGUUUUGCUUCCCAUAAUGCUCUGGGAGUACUGCUGCUCAGAGCUUGGCUUGUGCUUUUUCUUCUCCUGCCAAGGGGCCCUGCUUCCAAAACCCAGAUUAGAAAACAUGGGACGUUAAAAAAAAAAAAAAAAAAA